GGGGUUGUGGCUCAGUAGUAGAGUACUCACCUAGCACGUGACAGGCCCUGGGUUCGAUCCUCAGCACCCCA
Molecule: transfer RNA, 71 nt
Filed under: Ictidomys tridecemlineatus (thirteen-lined ground squirrel)
Lineage: Eukaryota; Metazoa; Chordata; Mammalia; Rodentia; Sciuridae
Also listed under: 1 other name
Description: Spermophilus tridecemlineatus (thirteen-lined ground squirrel) tRNA
Rfam family: tRNA
About the family: Transfer RNA (tRNA) molecules are approximately 80 nucleotides in length. Their secondary structure includes four short double-helical elements and three loops (D, anti-codon, and T loops). Further hydrogen bonds mediate the characteristic L-shaped molecular structure. tRNAs have two regions of fundamental functional importance: the anti-codon, which is responsible for specific mRNA codon recognition, and the 3' end, to which the tRNAs corresponding amino acid is attached (by aminoacyl-tRNA synthetases). tRNAs cope with the degeneracy of the genetic code in two manners: having more than one tRNA (with a specific anti-codon) for a particular amino acid; and 'wobble' base-pairing, i.e. permitting non-standard base-pairing at the 3rd anti-codon position.
Source: Rfam by way of RNAcentral